GUUUUGUCUUCGGUUC
This 16-nucleotide small RNA is filed under the name Arabidopsis thaliana (thale cress). RNAcentral describes it as "ATSL071050". Lineage: Eukaryota; Viridiplantae; Streptophyta; Magnoliopsida; Brassicales; Brassicaceae. The record is from RNAcentral.